GAACUAACAAUGUGAGAUGCAGUGUAUGGAAUGUCAAAUUUCUAGUAUGAGAAAUUAACGAUUUAAGUCCUUCUUAAAUGAGGCCAUUUACCCAAAGAGGGUGCCAGGCCCGUAUAACGUUAAUGAUUACUAGAUGGCAUUUCCAAAGAGUCGUGUUGCUUGAUAGUGCAGCACUAAGUGGGUGGUAAACUCCAUCUAAAACUAAAUAUAACCAUGAGACCGAUAGUAAACAAGUACCGUGAGGGAAAGU
Molecule: ribosomal RNA, 250 nt
Filed under: Chrysomya rufifacies (hairy maggot blowfly)
Lineage: Eukaryota; Metazoa; Arthropoda; Insecta; Diptera; Calliphoridae
Description: partial 28S ribosomal RNA
Rfam family: Eukaryotic large subunit ribosomal RNA
Source: RNAcentral